AUGCACAUUUCAUUGUCGUUUUUCUUUUGCCCCAAGAAAAAGAUAUUGAUGAUGUUCUGAACAAACUUUAAUAAAUAAAUAGCACCUUCAGACAAGU
Molecule: small nucleolar RNA, 97 nt
Filed under: Spermophilus dauricus (Daurian ground squirrel)
Lineage: Eukaryota; Metazoa; Chordata; Mammalia; Rodentia; Sciuridae
Source: RNAcentral